RNAcentral lists this ribosomal RNA (990 nucleotides) under Fusarium falciforme. RNAcentral's name for it is "partial large subunit ribosomal RNA". It matches the Rfam family "Eukaryotic large subunit ribosomal RNA", at positions 83 to 1104 of the family's 3401-position model. Lineage: Eukaryota; Fungi; Ascomycota; Sordariomycetes; Hypocreales; Nectriaceae. The record is from RNAcentral.
GUAACGGCGAGUGAAGCGGCAACAGCUCAAAUUUGAAAUCUGGCUCUCGGGCCCGAGUUGUAAUUUGUAGAGGAUGCUUUUGGUGAGGUGCCUUCCGAGUUCCCUGGAACGGGACGCCAUAGAGGGUGAGAGCCCCGUCUGGUUGGACACCGAUCCUCUGUAAAGCUCCUUCGACGAGUCGAGUAGUUUGGGAAUGCUGCUCUAAAUGGGAGGUAUAUGUCUUCUAAAGCUAAAUACCGGCCAGAGACCGAUAGCGCACAAGUAGAGUGAUCGAAAGAUGAAAAGAACUUUGAAAAGAGAGUUAAAAAGUACGUGAAAUUGUUGAAAGGGAAGCGCUUGUGACCAGACUUGGGCUUGGUUGAUCAUCCGGGGUUCUCCCCGGUGCACUCUUCCGGCUCAGGCCAGCAUCAGUUCGCCCUGGGGGAUAAAGGCUUCGGGAAUGUGGCUCUCUCCGGGGAGUGUUAUAGCCCGCUGCGUAAUACCCUGUGGCGGACUGAGGUUCGCGCAUUCGCAAGGAUGCUGGCGUAAUGGUCAUCAGUGACCCGUCUUGAAACACGGACCAAGGAGUCGUCUUCGUAUGCGAGUGUUCGGGUGUCAAACCCCUACGCGAAAUGAAAGUGAACGCAGGUGAGAGCUUCGGCGCAUCAUCGACCGAUCCUGAUGUUAUCGGAUGGAUUUGAGUAAGAGCAUACGGGGCCGGACCCGAAAGAAGGUGAACUAUGCCUGUGUAGGGUGAAGCCAGAGGAAACUCUGGUGGAGGCUCGCAGCGGUUCUGACGUGCAAAUCGAUCGUCAAACAUGGGCAUGGGGGCGAAAGACUAAUCGAACCUUCUAGUAGCUGGUUUCCGCCGAAGUUUCCCUCAGGAUAGCAGUGUUGAACUCAGUUUUAUGAGGUAAAGCGAAUGAUUAGGGACUCGGGGGCGCUAUUUAGCCUUCAUCCAUUCUCAAACUUUAAAUAUGUAAGAAGCCCUUGUUGCUUAAUUGAACGUGG